RNAcentral lists this long non-coding RNA (319 nucleotides) under Mytilus galloprovincialis (Mediterranean mussel). The record is from RNAcentral. Lineage: Eukaryota; Metazoa; Mollusca; Bivalvia; Mytilida; Mytilidae.
CUGUUCUAAUUCGAACCCAUAUUUGUUAGCCUUCAUAUUGUUUUACUCCCUUGUUAUGAUAUUUUCUUCUACUCCUGUAUAUUAGAUUACGAAUGAACUGUGAUAAAAUGGAGACACACUAAUUCCUUGAGAUGUUAAAAGUUUAAUGCGUAUAUAUAUAAUUCAUUUCUUAAAAAUUAUCAACAAUCCAGCUAAAGUACAUUUCCUGUACUAAUCAAAUGUGCUUUUUAUAUCACCUUAUGUUUAAAAUGUCAACUAAACAUAACAUUAUAGUAUUUCAAUUUUUCUUAAAUAACGACACAAUAACCACUGCCUAUCC